Peromyscus maniculatus bairdii (prairie deer mouse) is the source of this 2731-nucleotide non-coding RNA. The record is from RefSeq and is a predicted model, not a curated record. NCBI's taxonomy places the organism in Eukaryota, Metazoa, Chordata, Mammalia, Rodentia, Cricetidae.
AAAAAAAAGAGUUGCCGUGGUCAUGGUAUCUCUUCACAGCAAUAGAAAUCCUAACCAGGACACUACUGUUUCUCUUUGUAUGUGUUUGGGAUUCUCUAUAAUUCAUUUUUGAAAGUGCUGGGCACAGUGACACAAACCUAUGGUCCAAAAUAUUCUGGGAGGAUGUUUCAGACUAGAAAUCUAAGAGUUGAGAAUGAAACCCUAGUCUCAUAAGAAAAAUAAAAAAUUUUAGAGGACAAUGAAAAGACCGAAACCAUUGCACCAGCAAUUCAAUUCUCCUGAUGUACAUGGUAAGUGUGUGAAAAGAUCAGUAGCUAACAGUAUCUGCCCAUAAGGAUGGGGGGAGGCCAGGUUUUGUGAUUUCUUCCUUACAACAGCCUGCUUCCUAGAACAGGGACCAUGUGGGGCAGAGGGGACCCUGCUCUGGAGCCUGCCAGCGUGGUAUAAAGACCAUCUCCACUAGAGUCGUUGGCACCAGCUGAAAAUACAGAUUCCGGAUUGCAUACUGGCAGCAGGGGCCUGAGAGUCUGCAUUUUAACAAGAUCCCAGCAGAGUCUGUGCCCGCUGACAGUUCAUCAUCACUGGCUGACGUGUGGCUGAAGAGUCAAGAGAAAGGCUGUGGAGGGAACCAUCCCUGGCUCGGGCCCUACAUCUAAAACCUUGGCUGCAUUUCCAGACAGAAGAGGAAGUGAUUCGACGGAGAGAUUAACUGCCAAGGUCUCCAUGACACACCGUAUCAAUCACAGGCUAAAUGUCAUAAUGAGAGCUGGGCAGGCUGUCAAGACAGGCUUCCAGAUUCCAGUUACAGCUUCAUACUUAAAGAUUUGGACCCGAGGAAUCCAAUGCCAGCUCCGAAGGCUUCUUGGCCCGUGUGAGCAUCCUUCUCAGGGGCACAGAAGCCAACCUGGGCUCCUUCACAAAGGGGACAAGUGGAUGACAUAACAGAGUGGAAGGAAGUAGUUGGACACUAAAGAACAAACAAUAAUUUGAUUAUUGGUGGCAAGGAAGAGACAUUAGGAAUAGUGGGGACCGUGGCACCCUAAAGAGCCGUUGGCCCCCCCUGACACGGGAUAGCGACCUGCCGUUCCAGGCCUUACUUAGGACAGCAGUCUGGCCCAACUUCUGUCAGGCCGUUCUAGUCCCCUGUGCUUCCUGGGAAACCAUGGGGAUUUCAGUCUGGAGAGGCCCCACAGCUGGCACAAUACCUUCAGGAAAAGAAAAGCCUGACAAAAGAACCAGCCGGGAUGGACAUUACCCAACGACGGAGGGGACUCGACUGUCAAGGGAGAUGAGGUCCAUGAUGCUGGUGACGCCUGACCCGGCCAGUUGUGGCUCCCGACCCCCCAAAGAGCUGGGCCUUUGCCUGCUCUUGAGACGUGUGAGAAUGCUGCAGGCAGUUUCCCAGCGUGACAGACUUUCAAGAAGCAUUUCCCACAGAGUGUCACCUCAGAAGGAGCCUGUCCAGAGAAGGGCUGCCGUGAGGUGAACAGCUCCUUGGCUCCGGGCUGCCAGCAGGAUGUGCUACGGAGACCCAGGCUCCAAGCAACAUGCCAGCUGACAGCGGAAAUGUCCGACUCUGUGAGCCACCACAAGCCUUUGCUUUUUGGAAGUGGGCUGUCUCAGGCGUUGGUUCCGGUGGUGCGAAGCUGAGCAGCACAUCCAUUUCCGUCUCCUCUCUUGCCAAUGCAGUCUCUCGGUUGUCCUCUACUGAUUUCUCCCUUCUCUCUGGGACAAUAAUGACAAAACAGCUUCCAGCCCCAGAUUCUGAACUCUGUCUACAGAAUCCCAAGAAUGUGCCCUGCUGAAACCUGAGCUCCAGGCCAAAGAGAAGGUUCUGUCCCAGCCUCUAGACAGCCCAGCCUAGGCAGCAGGGGCAGGCUGCCCACAUGCACAGGCCAGGACGACUGGGACUGGCCUCUGGAGCCACUAUUUUGGGUGUUGCUGACAGUGUAUGAGCAAGAAAUAGCAACAAGGGCUGAGUUGUCCAUCAGGAGACGAACCUCUGGGCAUUGGGGAGGAGAAGCACUCACCCUCCAGGAAUAGAGAAGAGAUGGCAAAUAUUCCUUAAGCCCCCCAGAAGAAGUCGGAGCUGGCUCUGCAGUCUUGGUGGGGACUCUGAAGAAUUCAAGGGGCCUUAUGAGUUAUAUAUGUGGCAGGAGGGUGUCAGGUGAGCUGGAUGGGAGACAUUGCAUGCCCGUGCAGCUGGGGCAGAGAGGCCAUCCAGUCCCAAGACAUGCCAGGAUCCAGUCUCUUUCAUGGCCCUUGUUACAGGCCAGGUAAGGUGAUAUGAACCCACAGCUGAUGCCCCAUGGACCCACAGAGCCACACCUGAAGGAUGACAGCUCUUAUGGUCUGAGUCUGAAAUAUCCCAUCCAGGCUCAUCUGUUUGAAUGUUUGGUCCCCAGCUGGUGGUGCUGUCUGGGGAGGUUUUUGAACCUUUGGGACAUGGAGAUGGGUUAUGGGAGACAGGCAUCUGCUCUACCUUCUUCUGAUUCCAGCCUGAGAUCUCUGCAUCUAGCCUGAUGUAGUCACUGCUCUGUUGCUGUGAAAAGACACCAUGACGAAGGCAGUUCUUAUAAAAGGAAGCAUUUAACUUGAGGCUUGCUUGCUUAUGGUUUUAGAGGGUUCGUCCAUGGUCAUCAGGGCAGGAAGCAGACAGGCAUGUGCUAGAACAGUAGCUGAGAGCUUUACAACCCGAUCUUCAGGCAGGAGGCAGAGAGAAAGAGACUAA